This 355-nucleotide ribosomal RNA is filed under the name uncultured bacterium. RNAcentral describes it as "partial 16S ribosomal RNA". It matches the Rfam family "Bacterial small subunit ribosomal RNA", at positions 338 to 685 of the family's 1533-position model. The record is from RNAcentral.
CCUACGGGUGGCAGCAGUGGGGAAUAUUGCUCAAUGGGCGAAAGCCUGAACCAGCGAAGCCGCGUGAGGGAUGAAGGUCUUCGGAUCGUAAACCUCUGUUUGCAGGGAAGAACAGACACUGUGCUAAUCAGCCGCGAAUUGACAGUACCUGCAAAGGAAGCACCGGCUCACUCCGUGCCAGCAGCCGCGGUAAUACGGAGGGGGCGAGCGUUAAUCGGAAUUAUUGGGCGUAAAGGGCUCGUAGGCGGCAUGUCAAGUCAAGGGUGAAAUCGCCGCGCUCAACGUGUGAACUGCCUUUGAAACUGGGAAACUGGAGUGUGUGAGAGGAUGGUGGAAUUCGUGGUGUAGGGGUGAA